Molecule: ribosomal RNA, 507 nt
Filed under: uncultured bacterium
Lineage: Bacteria
Description: bacterial SSU rRNA
Rfam family: Bacterial small subunit ribosomal RNA
Source: RNAcentral
GAUUCUGGCUCAGGAUGAACGCUAGCGGCAGGCUUAACACAUGCAAGUCGAGGGCAUCGGGAGUAGCAAUACUGCCGGCGACCGGCGCAAGGGUGCGUAACGCGUGAGCAACAUGCCCGUAUCAGGGGGAUAAUCCAUGGAAACGUGGUCUAAUACCCCAUAGUAAUUAUGUAAGGCAUCUUAUAUAAUUUAAAGCUUUGGUGGAUACGGAUUGGCUCGCGUGACAUUAGCUGGAUGGUAAGGUAACGGCUUACCAUGGCUACGAUGUCUAGGGGUUCUGAGAGGAAGGUCCCCCACACUGGAACUGAGACACGGUCCAGACUCCUACGGGAGGCAGCAGUGAGGAAUAUUGGACAAUGGAUGGAAAUCUGAUCCAGCCAUGCCGCGUGCCAGGAAGACGGCCCUAUGGGUUGUAAACUGCUUUUGUAUGGGAGCAAUAAGGGCUACGUGUAGUCCGAUGAGAGUACCAUACGAAUAAGCACCGGCUAACUCCGUGCCAGCCGCCGC